GGACUACUAGGGUAUCUAAUCCUGUUUGCUCCCCACGCUUUCGUAGUUGAGUGUCAGUACCUGUCCAGGUCGCCGCCUUCGCCUCUGGUGUUCCUCCCGAUCUCUACGCAUUUCACCGCUACACCGGGAAUUCCACGACCCUCUCCAGGACUCCAGUCUCACCGUUUCUCGCGCACUUCUUGAGUUAAGCCCAAGGCUUUCACACGAGACAAAUGAGACCACCUACCUACCCUUUACGCCCAAUAAUUCCGAGCAACGCUUGCACCCUCUGUAUUACCGCGGCGGCUGGCAC
This 292-nucleotide ribosomal RNA is filed under the name uncultured bacterium. Its description in RNAcentral is "partial 16S ribosomal RNA". The record is from RNAcentral.